GAUGAAGAACGUAGCGAAAUGCGAUAAGUAGUGUGAAUUGCAGAAUUCAGUGAAUCAUCGAAUCUUUGAACGCACAUUGCGCCCUUUGGUAUUCCUUAGGGCAUGCCUGUUCGAGCGUCAUUUAAACCUUCAAGCUAAGCUUGGUGUUGGGUGACUGUCCGCUUCACGGCGGACUCGCCUCAAAAUUAUUGGCGGCCGGUACAUUGGCUUCGAGCGCAGCAGAAACGCGAACUCGGGCCCGUCGUAUUGGCUCCCAGAAGCUAUCCUCACACUUUUGACCUCGGAUCAGGUAGGGAUACCCGCUGAACUUAAGCAUAUCAAUAAGCGGAGGA
Molecule: unclassified non-coding RNA, 332 nt
Filed under: soil metagenome
Description: partial contains 5.8S ribosomal RNA, internal transcribed spacer 2, and large subunit ribosomal RNA
Rfam family: 5.8S ribosomal RNA (bases 1-120)
Source: RNAcentral